RNAcentral lists this non-coding RNA (202 nucleotides) under Novipirellula herctigrandis. The record is from RNAcentral. Lineage: Bacteria; Pseudomonadati; Planctomycetota; Planctomycetia; Pirellulales; Pirellulaceae.
AACCUCUCUUACGAAGAACGAGUAGCCAUCGACUUCGACCUCCGGCGAAAGUGCGAGUCCGGUAAAAAAGGUCGUGCCGAGCGUCCGUAUCGGGGGAAACGAAGGCCAGCUAUUGAGCUCUGAAAUCCUCGCUUUCGUGUGCCGACCUUGUCCUGACAUGGGGAAGGCAAGAACAACCUGGACACGGCGGAGUCUAUCCACU